Molecule: long non-coding RNA, 3442 nt
Filed under: Brassica rapa (field mustard)
Lineage: Eukaryota; Viridiplantae; Streptophyta; Magnoliopsida; Brassicales; Brassicaceae
Description: long non-coding RNA (BRAP_LNC008375)
Source: RNAcentral
CCCCAUACUCUCUUAAGAGAGUUACAAACGCCCAUGAGGUCUUUAUAUAGGUUUUACACUCUUGCAAACUCAUAAACCUAUAUCUAAUGGAUAGAAAUAACUUAAGAGGAAUGGAUGGUGAGGAUGAGUUGGUCUUGUUGUGAUCUGAGUGAUGUGUGCUGAUUGGAUGAGCUAAGCUGGCUCACUUUAAUUCAAACAAGGCUGUGCUUUGAUUGGUUCUUCUUAGGCUCCUUUGUAUCUGUCCAUAGAUCAGUCUAGGUGCAUGGUCGUGGCUGCCUUCUCUUUACAGCAACAGCCAGCCUGUCCAUGCCCCAAAGUAACCAAUCAGCUCCACAAAGCAUCUUCUUGAUUCCCUUUGACUAGAUUCAAACCUUGGUGCCUUAUCCAUAUACUAUGCACACUCUUCACAUCCUGAAUAGUGACCCAAAUAGUGAAUAGUCAACCUGAAUAGUGACUAGUGAUUCACUAUUCACUUUUACACCAACUUGCCCAAACUUCUCCAAUCUUACUGUGGUAACUCUCCAAAGUUACUGUGGUAACUUUGGAGUUACUGUCUGACCCAAAUCUUCUCUAAAUGGUGUCUAAGUCCCUCCUGGACUUAACCCUAUCUUUGCACACUCAUCAGACCACUUCUGAAGCCUUAAGACUCUCCCAAAGCCUUAACAUACAAUCUCUGAAGAUCUUGCCAUGUCUUUGCACAAGCACCAACUCAACUCAUCACUUUUGCUUCUCCACUUCUUCUCUUCAAGUUAACACUCCCCCUCAAGCUUGACUCUAGCUGAUCCUAAGUCAAGCUUGGAACCUUGAAGAACUUCCUCAUUAAAAACCUCACCAAGGAAAACCCUUUGGGACAAAACCUUGAUGAGGGAAAAAGAGUAAAGUCUCCAAGGCCUAGGGAUUGGCCAGUGAGUCUUUGUGCCUUACCAACAAUGUAAGGGACACAAAGACUCUGGAUCAUGGCCUCUACAAUCAUCCCACGCCUUGUACUCUCCUUACUGCCUAAUCUUGGUCUCUCCCCCUUUCACCUAACCUCUUGUUAGGUUGAAGUGCUCGGACACACCAGAUCAGCCUCUUCUUGGAGAUACAACUUCUCUUACUGAGUCUUGGCUGCUUCUUCUUCUUCUUAUAGAGUCGCCACCUUGUUGCUUGAGCUACAUGAGGAUGCUUCAGCCACUCUCCAAUCACCUCAACACUUGAAGCCGCCUUGGACAUUGCUUCUUCAUCCUUCAUCAUACUUCUCAACAGGUUGCUUCCUCUUCUAGAAUAACCACCAAGCUCUCUUGGAUCAUGUAAGCUUCAACACUCCCCCUCAAGCUUGAGACUCUCACAGGAACAAGCUUGAAUGGAUUGCUUCAUGAUCCUCACACACACACCAUUGCCGCUUCUCUUCUGAUCUUGCCAUCUUCAUGGAAUGCUUGUGGAAGCUUCAGCUAUCUCUCCAAUCACUUCACACUAGAAGCCGCCUUGAUAGAGUUGCCUUCAUCUUCUCACAGCCAAGAGUACUCUGUCUUAGUUUGAGUACUCUCUUGAAUAGACUCGCCACAGCCUAAGCCCGGAUGGCUCCUUCUUCAGAUGGUUGCAAUGGACUUCUUGGAUCGCUUGGAAGCUCACUAAACUCCCCUCCUCAAGCUUGGAUUGAGUAUAGGUCCAAGCUUGCAAGUGAGCUUCAGUGAGACUUCACACCAGUGGCGCAUCACCACUUCUUUCUCAACUCUCCAUUGCUCCACACAAUGGGCAAAGUCUUCCUCUUUCAACUCGGAUGGAUGGUGAACCAAGAACACCUCUGUGAACCUGAAACAUCACUCAAAACUCCAGCAAAGAUAAGACACAAGUGCAUGGGGUCAACCCUUGAUGCAUCAUCAAGUUUGAACACCAAUGUCUUUAAGCAAUGCAACAGAUUAAACUAGACAUUUUCAAGUUCUAAUCUUUGCAAGCAAACUCUCUAAGCACUAGCAUGAUCCUAACAGAUUCAAUACAAGCUACUUAGGCAAUUUUUAAAGCUUCUUUACUCAGCAUUUAGACAUGAAUCUAAUGCUUCAAUGUAAGGACAGCCAUUUGACAGUAUGCACUAACCUUAAUCAGUUUUAAUUCAUGAAUGCAACAAUACAAUCCAUCACACAUUCAUUUAUAACUUAGGCUAAGCAUUACUAUCAUCACUUAUCAUCAGACAAUGCAUUACUUUCAAUCUGUUUUCAGUUCAUGAGCUUCAAACAAUAUCAUUUCACAUUUAGCAAACUCAUUACUUAACAGGAGCAAGCAUUUUACUCUUUAAACACUAAACAAGCCUUUAAAGCAUCCUGGGACAGAUUCAACUAAUUAUAUUUAGCAAUCACCACAUUAUCCUCAGGUUUUUCAAUCAAUACACAUCACACUAACCAGGCAAUAACACAACACAAGCUCAUUAUCAAGAAGGUUUUAAGAAUCGCUUACACAAGGAACCAGGUUGGUUCCUUAAGCCUCCAAAGGCAAUCUGGCCAUGAUAUGGUUGGAUUCAAGAGUCUAGGUCGUCACCCAACUCCUUCUCCUUCAGUCCAUGGCCUCCUUCUUGUUCUCACACCCAAAGACCCCUCCUUUCUUCAUACUUCAAACCGGCUUCUCUUAGCUUCAUCUUUCUUGUAUCCGGAUGUGAUAAGCUCUUGGACAAGGAGCUUUGGCUUGAGGUUCAUGACGCCUCUCCAUCCUCCUCUGCUUCCAAAGAGACACUCUCCAUCAGGUAAAGACAGGCACGGUUGAGAGAUAAGGAGAACACUCCAUGCUUCAAGCUCUUUCUUUCUUCAAGAACUGAACUCGGUGGUAAUGUCUUCAAGGGUUUGGUUUGAGCUGAGAUGAGAGCUGUGGAUUUGCGGAAGCUCAGCUCAGGUUCUGAUGAACCGGCUCUGAUACCAUAUGAGAUUUGAGAGCUCUGGCUGUGUAUGUGUAUGAGAAGCCAUUAGAGGCAGAGAAUAAGGUCUUGAACUAGUUGAAUAAGAGGUCUGAUGAAACUAGUAUGAACUUGAAUCAGAAACAAAGAGACUUAGAGAGAUUAAGAGAUUAGAGACUAAGAAAGGGGUAGAUUAAGGGAAUCUGAUCAAGAACACACUUUUAUAUUUAUGAAGGAGUUGGGAAAAUCCCCCAUACUCUCUUAAGAGAGUUACAAACGCCCAUGAGGUCUUUAUAUAGGUUUUACACUCUUGCAAACUCAUAAACCUAUAUCUAAUGGAUAGAAAUAACUUAAGAGAAAUGGAUGGUGAGGAUGAGUUGGUCUUGUUGUGAUCUGAGUGAUGUGUGCUGAUUGGAUGAGCUAAGCUGGCUCACUUUAAUUCAAACAAGGCUGUGCUUUGAUUGGUUCUUCUUAGGCUCCUUUGUAUCUGUCAUAGAUCAGUCUAGGUGCAUGGUCGUGGCUGCCUUCCUCUUUACAGCAACAGCCAGCCUGUCCAUGCCCCAAAGUAACCAAUCAGCUCCA